GUGUCAGUAACAAACCAGGAAUAAACUCACGAUGACCGACACAAAAUCUAACAGUAACACCUCAAAACUGACCUGUAUUGUUGACCUGUUACGAUGUUUAAAGCUUAAAACAAUUUUCUCGAGGUAAUUAUUGAUAAAAUUUUCAUAAAAUC
Long non-coding RNA from Thalassophryne amazonica, 152 nucleotides. RefSeq lists it as uncharacterized. The transcript has 3 exons. Lineage: Eukaryota; Metazoa; Chordata; Actinopteri; Batrachoidiformes; Batrachoididae. The record is from RefSeq and is a predicted model, not a curated record.